UACGUAGGGGGCAAGCGUUGUUCGGAAUUACUGGGCGUAAAGCGCGCGUAGGCGGUUUGGAAAGUCAGAUGUGAAAGCCCCGGGCUCAACUUGGGAACUGCAUUUGAUACUGCCAGACUAGAGUACAGAAGAGGUGACUGGAAUUCCCAGUGUAGCGGUGAAAUGCGUAGAUAUUGGGAGGAACACCGGUGGCGAAGGCGGCUAUCUGGACCGGUACUGACGCUGAGACGCGAAAGCCAGGGGAGCAAACGGG
RNAcentral lists this ribosomal RNA (253 nucleotides) under uncultured bacterium. RNAcentral's name for it is "partial 16S ribosomal RNA". It matches the Rfam family "Bacterial small subunit ribosomal RNA", at positions 524 to 776 of the family's 1533-position model. The record is from RNAcentral.